Long non-coding RNA from Marmota monax (woodchuck), 1202 nucleotides. RefSeq lists it as uncharacterized. NCBI's taxonomy places the organism in Eukaryota, Metazoa, Chordata, Mammalia, Rodentia, Sciuridae. The transcript is spliced from 3 exons. The record is from RefSeq and is a predicted model, not a curated record.
CACUUCCUAGGAGCUUGAGAAGGCAGGAGGCCCAGGGUCACUCUUGGGUUUCCCUAGACUUGGAGUUUUGCUCCAGACCUGGGUUGAGUCCUGGCUAACUGGCCAACUUAGGGACAGUCAUUGGGAGUUGGAUGUGCCCAGUCCUGCUGGUUCUGAGCUCCUCUUCCCAUCCCCAUCACUCUCCAGGGACAGUUCCUUCAGGGGGACAACCCCUUAGACCAGGGCUCUGCCAGGAACUGUUACAUCACCCUCUGUGCACCCCUGGGACCCAAGUAAAUUGGUUCUUACCCCAAGAAAUGAGGUAGAGGGGAACUGCAGCCUGGAUGAGACUCCUGGAUGAGAACACUGGGCUCUGUGCUUUCCAAGCUGAGGGGUGAGGGUUGUCAGGAGACCAGCCUAAGGUUCAGAGAAGCGUGUUUCCUAGGGUGUGGGGAGGCUCUGAGACCAAUGCCUCCUGGAAGGGAAGAACAUUGCUCUCUGGAGACCCAAGCUCAGGAGCCAACACUGUCUGGCUCUUUGACAUUGGGCAAGACACUCAGCAUUUCUCUCAUCCUUAAAAUGUGGCAACAGUAAUGAUCACAGCAACUAACCUGGCUGGCUUCCUGGGAAGGGCUGAAGAUGAGAAGAUAGAAAACUCACCAGCCAGGAUUAUACCAAGUGCACCUCAAAUGAUUCCACAAAAUAGAAAGGGAACUUAUUUAUUAUUAUUUUUAAUUGUGUGCACAUGUGUGUAUUCUUUAGGAUUGUGUGUGUGUGUGUGUGUAUGCACGCGCGUGCACGCACAUGGGUGUAUGGGGGGAAAGAUUGUGUUUGGUAGUGGGGAUCAAAUCAAACACAGGGCAUGAUGUAUGGUUGGCAAGCACUCUACCACUGAGCCACAUUCCCAGCCCUUCUUUUUAUUUUCAGACAUGGUCUCACUAAAUUGACCAAGCUGGCCUUGUGGUCUUCCAGUCUCAGCCUCCCAUAUAGCCUCCCAACAGGAGUUCACUGCCAUAACCUGCUUAGCAUUUUCUAUAUGCAAGAUCUUGCCAUCUGCAAAUAGAUAGGUUUUCUUCUUUCUCAAGUGGAUACUUUAAAAAUUUUUUUCUUGCCUAAUUUCCGUGGCUGAAACUUUUAACCAAUAGGAUGUUAGAUUUUUUCAUAAACACCCUUCAUCAGGUUGAGGAAGUUUCCUUUUUUCUUUGGUGUGUGUGUGUGUGUGU